This 84-nucleotide transfer RNA is filed under the name Ferrimicrobium acidiphilum DSM 19497. RNAcentral's name for it is "tRNA-Tyr". It matches the Rfam family "tRNA". Rfam says of the family: Transfer RNA (tRNA) molecules are approximately 80 nucleotides in length. Their secondary structure includes four short double-helical elements and three loops (D, anti-codon, and T loops). The record is from RNAcentral. Lineage: Bacteria; Bacillati; Actinomycetota; Acidimicrobiia; Acidimicrobiales; Acidimicrobiaceae.
GGGUCGGUGCCCGAGUGGCCAAUGGGAGCAGACUGUAAAUCUGCCGGCGUACGCCUACGGGGGUUCGAAUCCCUCCCGGCCCAC